GGGUUGUGAGGUUAAGCGACUAAGCGUACACGGUGGAUGCCCUGGCAGUCAGAGGCGAUGAAGGACGUGCUAAUCUGCGAUAAGCGCCGGUAAGGUGAUAUGAACCGUUAUAACCGGCGAUUUCCGAAUGGGGAAACCCAGUGUGACUCGUCACACUAUCAUUAACUGAAUCCAUAGGUUAAUGAGGCGAACCGGGGGAACUGAAACAUCUAAGUACCCCGAGGAAAAGAAAUCAACCGAGAUUCCCCCAGUAGCGGCGAGCGAACGGGGAGGAGCCCAGAGCCUGAAUCAGCAUGUGUGUUAGUGGAAGCGUCUGGAAAGGCGCGCGAUACAGGGUGACAGCCCCGUACACAAAAGCGCAUGUGCUGUGAGCUCGAUGAGUAGGGCGGGACACGUGGUAUCCUGUCUGAAUAUGGGGGGACCAUCCUCCAAGGCUAAAUACUCCUGACUGACCGAUAGUGAACCAGUACCGUGAGGGAAAGGCGAAAAGAACCCCGGCGAGGGGAGUGAAAAAGAACCUGAAACCGUGUACGUACAAGCAGUGGGAGCCCCACCACUAAGCCAGUGGUGAACUCCACAUACGCAUCCUUUGCUGAGGAUACGGUUAACGGAGCGCAAGCGACGUUCAACCGCAAAAGAAGCAGAGGGGGCUUAGUGGUGGGGUGACUGCGUACCUUUUGUAUAAUGGGUCAGCGACUUAUAUUCUGUAGCAAGGUUAACCGAAUAGGGGAGCCGGAGGGAAACCGAGUCUUAAUUGGGCGUUAAGUUGCAGGGUAUAGACCCGAAACCCGGUGAUCUAGCCAUGGGCAGGUUGAAGGUUGGGUAACACUAACUGGAGGACCGAACCGACUAAUGUUGAAAAAUUAGCGGAUGACCUGUGGCUGGGGGUGAAAGGCCAAUCAAACCGGGAGAUAGCUGGUUCUCCCCGAAAGCUAUUUAGGUAGCGCCUCGUGAAUUCAUCUCCGGGGGUAGAGCACUGUUUCGGCUAGGGGGCCAUCCCGGCUUACCAACCCGAUGCAAACUGCGAAUACCGGAGAAUGUUAUCACGGGAGACACACGGCGGGUGCUAACGUCCGUCGUGAAGAGGGAAACAACCCAGACCGCCAGCUAAGGUCCCAAAGUCAUGGUUAAGUGGGAAACGAUGUGGGAAGGCCCAGACAGCCAGGAUGUUGGCUUAGAAGCAGCCAUCAUUUAAAGAAAGCGUAAUAGCUCACUGGUCGAGUCGGCCUGCGCGGAAGAUGUAACGGGGCUAAACCAUGCACCGAAGCUGCGGCAGCGACACUAUGUGUUGUUGGGUAGGGGAGCGUUCUGUAAGCCUGUGAAGGUGGCCUGUGAGGGUUGCUGGAGGUAUCAGAAGUGCGAAUGCUGACAUAAGUAACGAUAAAGCGGGUGAAAAGCCCGCUCGCCGGAAGACCAAGGGUUCCUGUCCAACGUUAAUCGGGGCAGGGUGAGUCGACCCCUAAGGCGAGGCCGAAAGGCGUAGUCGAUGGGAAACGGGUUAAUAUUCCCGUACUUGGUGUUACUGCGAAGGGGGGACGGAGAAGGCUAUGUUGGCCGGGCGACGGUUGUCCCGGUUUAAGCGUGUAGGUGUGUGUUCCAGGUAAAUCCGGUUCACUUUAACACUGAGGCGUGACGACGAGGCACUACGGUGCUGAAGCAACAAAUGCCCUGCUUCCAGGAAAAGCCUCUAAGCAUCAGGUAACAUCAAAUCGUACCCCAAACCGACACAGGUGGUCAGGUAGAGAAUACCAAGGCGCUUGAGAGAACUCGGGUGAAGGAACUAGGCAAAAUGGUGCCGUAACUUCGGGAGAAGGCACGCUGACACGUAGGUGAAGUGAUUUACUCAUGGAGCUGAAGUCAGUCGAAGAUACCAGCUGGCUGCAACUGUUUAUUAAAAACACAGCACUGUGCAAACACGAAAGUGGACGUAUACGGUGUGACGCCUGCCCGGUGCCGGAAGGUUAAUUGAUGGGGUCAGCGCAAGCGAAGCUCCUGAUCGAAGCCCCGGUAAACGGCGGCCGUAACUAUAACGGUCCUAAGGUAGCGAAAUUCCUUGUCGGGUAAGUUCCGACCUGCACGAAUGGCGUAAUGAUGGCCAGGCUGUCUCCACCCGAGACUCAGUGAAAUUGAACUCGCUGUGAAGAUGCAGUGUACCCGCGGCAAGACGGAAAGACCCCGUGAACCUUUACUAUAGCUUGACACUGAACAUUGAGCCUUGAUGUGUAGGAUAGGUGGGAGGCUUUGAAGUGUGGACGCCAGUCUGCAUGGAGCCGACCUUGAAAUACCACCCUUUAAUGUUUGAUGUUCUAACGUGGACCCGUGAUCCGGGUUGCGGACAGUGUCUGGUGGGUAGUUUGACUGGGGCGGUCUCCUCCUAAAGAGUAACGGAGGAGCACGAAGGUUGGCUAAUCCUGGUCGGACAUCAGGAGGUUAGUGCAAUGGCAUAAGCCAGCUUGACUGCGAGCGUGACGGCGCGAGCAGGUGCGAAAGCAGGUCAUAGUGAUCCGGUGGUUCUGAAUGGAAGGGCCAUCGCUCAACGGAUAAAAGGUACUCCGGGGAUAACAGGCUGAUACCGCCCAAGAGUUCAUAUCGACGGCGGUGUUUGGCACCUCGAUGUCGGCUCAUCACAUCCUGGGGCUGAAGUAGGUCCCAAGGGUAUGGCUGUUCGCCAUUUAAAGUGGUACGCGAGCUGGGUUUAGAACGUCGUGAGACAGUUCGGUCCCUAUCUGCCGUGGGCGCUGGAGAACUGAGGGGGGCUGCUCCUAGUACGAGAGGACCGGAGUGGACGCAUCACUGGUGUUCGGGUUGUCAUGCCAAUGGCACUGCCCGGUAGCUAAAUGCGGAAGAGAUAAGUGCUGAAAGCAUCUAAGCACGAAACUUGCCCCGAGAUGAGUUCUCCCUGAGACUUAGAGUCUCCUGAAGGAACGUUGAAGACGACGACGUUGAUAGGCCGGGUGUGUAAGCGCAGCGAUGCGUUGAGCUAACCGGUACUAAUGAACCGUGAGGCUUAACCUUACAACGCCGAAG
This 3027-nucleotide ribosomal RNA is filed under the name Salmonella enterica subsp. enterica serovar Minnesota. RNAcentral describes it as "bacterial LSU rRNA". It matches the Rfam family "Bacterial large subunit ribosomal RNA". The record is from RNAcentral. Lineage: Bacteria; Pseudomonadati; Pseudomonadota; Gammaproteobacteria; Enterobacterales; Enterobacteriaceae.